This 699-nucleotide ribosomal RNA is filed under the name uncultured bacterium. RNAcentral's name for it is "bacterial SSU rRNA". It matches the Rfam family "Bacterial small subunit ribosomal RNA", at positions 8 to 754 of the family's 1533-position model. The record is from RNAcentral.
AGAGUUUGAUCCUGGCUCAGGAUGAACGCUGGCGGUAUGCCUAACACAUGCAAGUCGAACGGGGUAGCAAUACCUAGUGGCGGACGGGUGAGUAACGCGUGAGAAUCCACCUUUAGGAUGGGGACAACAAGAGGAAACUCUUGCUAAUACCCAAUGAGCCGAAAGGUAAAAGUAAUUCGCCUAAAGAGGAGCUCGCGUCCGAUUAGUUAGUUGGUGGGGUAAAGGCCUACCAAGGCAGCGAUCGGUAGCUGGUCUGAGAGGAUGAGCAGCCACACUGGGACUGAGACACGGCCCAGACUCCUACGGGAGGCAGCAGUGGGGAAUUUUCCGCAAUGGGCGAAAGCCUGACGGAGCAAUACCGCGUGAGGGAGGAAGGCUCUUGGGUUGUAAACCUCUUUUCUUAGGGAAGAAACCUGACGGUACCUAAGGAAUCAGCAUCGGCUAACUCCGUGCCAGCAGCCGCGGUAAUACGGAGGAUGCAAGCGUUAUCCGGAAUUAUUGGGCGUAAAGCGUCCGUAGGUGGCAUUUCAAGUCUGUCGUUAAAGCCCGAAGCUUAACUUUGGAACAGCGGUGGAAACUGAGAAGCUAGAGUGCGGUAGGGGUAGAGGGAAUUCCCAGUGUAGCGGUGAAAUGCGUAGAGAUUGGGAAGAACACCGGUGGCGAAAGCGCUCUACUGGGCCGCAACUGACACUGAUGGAC